AUGGUUGUCGAACGAGCGCAUUAAGUUGGGAUUGAUUGGUGCUUGCAUCAUGAUUUACAUUUGAGUGAGUGGCGAACUGGUGAGUAACACGUGGGAAACCUGCCCAGAAGCGGGGGAUAACACCUGGAAACAGAUGCUAAUACCGCAUAACAACUUGGACCGCAUGGUCCGAGCUUGAAAGAUGGCUUCGGCUAUCACUUUUGGAUGGUCCCGCGGCGUAUUAGCUAGAUGGUGGGGUAACGGCUCACCAUGGCAAUGAUACGUAGCCGACCUGAGAGGGUAAUCGGCCACAUUGGGACUGAGACACGGCCCAAACUCCUACGGGAGGCAGCAGUAGGGAAUCUUCCACAAUGGACGAAAGUCUGAUGGAGCAACGCCGCGUGAGUGAAGAAGGGUUUCGGCUCGUAAAACUCUGUUGUUAAAGAAGAACAUAUCUGAGAGUAACUGUUCAGGUAUUGUCGGUAUUUAACCAGAAAGCCACGGCUAACUAGGUGCCAGCAGCCGCGGUAAUUCGUAGGUGGCAAGCGUUGUCCGGCUUUAUUGGGCGUAAAGCGAGCGCAGGCGGUUUUUUAAGUCUGAUGUGAAAGCCUUCGGCUCAACCGAAGAAGUGCAUCGGAAACUGGGAAACUUGAGUGCAGAAGAGGACAGUGGAACUCCAUGUGUAGCGGUGAAAUGCGUAGAUAUAUGGAAGAACACCAGUGGCGAAGGCGGCUGUCUGGUCUGUAACUGACGCUGAGGCUCGAAAGUAUGGGUAGCAAACAGGAUUAGAUACCCUGGUAGUCCAUACCGUAAACGAUGAAUGCUAAGUGUUGGAGGGUUUCCGCCCUUCAGUGCUGCAGCUAACGCAUUAAGCAUUCCGCCUGGGGAGUACGGCCGCAAGGCUGAAACUCAAAGGAAUUGACGGGGGCCCGCACAAGCGGUGGAGCAUGUGGUUUAAUUCGAAGCUACGCGAAGAACCUUACCAGGUCUUGACAUACUAUGCAAAUCUAAGAGAUUAGACGUUCCCUUCGGGGACAUGGAUACAGGUGGUGCAUGGUUGUCGUCAGCUCGUGUCGUGAGAUGUUGGGUUAAGUCCCGCAACGAGCGCAACCCUUAUUAUCAGUUGCCAGCAUUAAGUUGGGCACUCUGGUGAGACUGCCGGUGACAAACCGGAGGAAGGUGGGGAUGACGUCAAAUCAUCAUGCCCCUUAUGACCUGGGCUACACACGUGCUACAAUGGAUGGUACAACGAGUUGCGAACUCGCGAGAGUAAGCUAAUCUCUUAAAGCCAUUCUCAGUUCGGAUUGUAGGCUGCAACUCGCCUACAUGAAGUCGGAAUCGCUAGUAAUCGCGGAUCAGCAUGCCGCGGUGAAUACGUUCCCGGGCCUUGUACACACCGCCCGUCACACCAUGAGAGUUUGUAACACCCAAAGUCGUUGUCCGGAGGUAUUGACGCCUGCCCAGA
RNAcentral lists this ribosomal RNA (1444 nucleotides) under Lactiplantibacillus plantarum. RNAcentral's name for it is "bacterial SSU rRNA". It matches the Rfam family "Bacterial small subunit ribosomal RNA". Lineage: Bacteria; Bacillati; Bacillota; Bacilli; Lactobacillales; Lactobacillaceae. The record is from RNAcentral.